GGUUCCGUAGUGUAGAGGUGAUCACGUCUGCUUUACACGCAGAAGGUCCUGGGUUCGAGCCCCAGUGGAACCA
RNAcentral lists this transfer RNA (73 nucleotides) under Scleropages formosus (Asian bonytongue). It matches the Rfam family "tRNA". Rfam says of the family: Transfer RNA (tRNA) molecules are approximately 80 nucleotides in length. The record is from Rfam by way of RNAcentral. Lineage: Eukaryota; Metazoa; Chordata; Actinopteri; Osteoglossiformes; Osteoglossidae.